RNAcentral lists this ribosomal RNA (1376 nucleotides) under Lobesia sp. FRA-2014. RNAcentral describes it as "16S ribosomal RNA". The stretch from base 1092 to 1251 matches the Rfam family "Eukaryotic large subunit ribosomal RNA", at positions 2825 to 2984 of the family's 3401-position model. Lineage: Eukaryota; Metazoa; Arthropoda; Insecta; Lepidoptera; Tortricidae. The record is from RNAcentral.
GGGGGGAAAUUAGUAUAAAAAAAUUUAAUAAAAAUAAUUUUAAAGAAAUAUAAUAAUGGGGGUUAAAGUAUUUUAUAAAGAAAAAAUUAUUAAAUUUAUAGUAAAUUAGUAUUGUAAAAUAAAUUUGAAAUAAAUGAAAAUAAAUUAAUUAAAAAGUAAAUUUUAUUUAUUGUAUCUUGUGUAUCAGAGUUUAUUAAUAAAAAAUUUUAUAAAAAAUAAUUCUCGAAUUUAAAAGAGUUAAUUAAUUAAGAAAUUUAUUGUAGCAAAAAUAUUUUUAAUAAUUAAUUUGAAAUGAAAUGUUAAUCGUUUUUAAAUAUAUCUAGUUUUUUUAGAAAAAAAUUUAAUUUAAAAUUUAUUAAAAAAAAAAAUUAAUUAAUUAAUUUUUUUUUAAAUAAAUUUAAUAUUUUAAGGGAUAAGCUUUAAUUUAAAUUUUUAUAAUAAUAAUAAAUUAAUAUAAAAAUUUUAAAAUUUAUAUUGUUUAAAAAUUAUAAUUUUUUAUAAAUAAUUUUAUGAAAAUUAAAAUUUAAUUUUAUAUUUAAUUUUUUAUAAAGAAAUAAUAUAUAACGAGUUAAUUUUAGUUAUAAUGAUAAAAUUAGUAUAAAAUUUAAUAAUUAAUAUUUUUAAUUUAUAAAAUUAAUUAUAAGGAAUUCGGCAAAAAUUUAUAUUCACUUGUUUAUCAAAAACAUGUCUUUUUGUUAAUAAUUUAAAGUCUAAUCUGCCCACUGAUAUAAAUUAAAGGGCUGCAGUAUUUUGACUGUACAAAGGUAGCAUAAUCAUUAGUCUCUUAAUUGGUGACUUGUAUGAAAGAUUGGAUGAGAUAUAAACUGUCUUAUUUUUAAAUUUAGAAUUUAAUUUUUUAUUAAAAAAGUUAAAAUAUAUUUAAAAGACGAGAAGACCCUAUAGAGUUUUAUUUAUAAUUUAAUUAAAAAUUUUUUUAUUAAAAUUAAAUUUAAAUUAAUUUAUAAAUUUUGUUGGGGUGAUAAAAAAAUUAAAUUAACUUUUUUUUUAAUGAUAUAUAUAUAUAUAUAAAUAACAUUAAUAUGUGAGUAAAUGAUCCAUAAAUUAUGAUUAAAAGAAUAAAUUACCUUAGGGAUAACAGCGUAAUUUUUUUUUUUAGUUCAAAUAAAAAAAAAAGUUUGCGACCUCGAUGUUGGAUUAAGAUAAAAUUUAAAUGCAAAAGUUUAAAAUUUUUGAUCUGUUCGAUCAUUAAAAUCUUACAUGAUCUGAGUUCAAACCGGUGUAAGCCAGGUUGGUUUCUAUCUUUAAAAAAAUAAAAUAUUUUAGUACGAAAGGAUCAAAUAUUUAAAAUAAUUUUAAGUGCGGAAUUUUAUUAAGUUUAAUUUAAAUUUAUAUACUAUUUUGGCAGAUAAGUGUAA